Molecule: ribosomal RNA, 514 nt
Filed under: uncultured bacterium
Lineage: Bacteria
Description: partial 16S ribosomal RNA
Rfam family: Bacterial small subunit ribosomal RNA
Source: RNAcentral
GAUGAACGCUGGCGGCGUGCCUAAUACAUGUAAGUCGAGCGCGAGAGUGAGGAGCUUGCUCCUCAUGAUCGAGCGGCGGACGGGUGAGUAACACGUAGGCAACCUACCCUUGAGAUUGGGAUAACUACCGGAAACGGUAGCUAAUACCGGAUACGACUUUUCCACAUAAGUGGAAUGGUUAAAAGGCGGAUUUAUCUGCCGCUCAUGGAUGGGCCUGCGGUGAAUUAGCUAGUUGGUGAGAUAGUGGCUCACCAAGGCGAGGAUGCAUAGCCGAACGGAGAGGGGGAGCGACCACACGGGGAGUGAGACACGGCCCAGAAUCCUACGGGAGGCAGCAGUAGGGAAUCUUCCGCAAUGGACGCAAGUCUGACGGAGCAACGCCGCGUGAGUGAUGAAGGGUUUCGGCUCGUAAAACUCUGUUGUUAAGGAAGAACACUUGAGGUAGUAACUGGCCUUGAGAUGACGGUACUUAACCAGAAAGCCACGGCUAACUACGUGCCAGCCGCCGCCGUAA